RNAcentral lists this long non-coding RNA (880 nucleotides) under Coturnix japonica (Japanese quail). Its description in RNAcentral is "lncRNA (ENSCJPG00005016598.1)". The record is from RNAcentral. Lineage: Eukaryota; Metazoa; Chordata; Aves; Galliformes; Phasianidae.
CAAGCCCACAAAGUUUUCCGCUUCUACUUUCAGAAUUUCAUCAUCAGCCUACAUAAUUCUGUAUGUAAUGAACACACAGGCCAAAGUAAGCCUUUCUUUUCUGGUGUUCUUCACAAAUGCUUCCCUACUCUGAGAUUUUCUGUAGAGCAGCACCUUAGCAGAAGUUAAAAGCCUUUAAUAUUCAACAAGUAGCCCCGGUAGCUCCAGGCUGCAGGCCAAAUAUCUCUACUUUACUCUCUCUAUGUUGACCAGUGACUGCUUCCCAUGUACCACUCCCAUCUAUCUUAUUUCUCUUUCAGUGCAUUGUACAUGAUAUUGUGUCUCCCAUUCAAAAAAACUGUUCCAUUUCUGCUUUCUCUUUCACUACUGCUAAGAUCAAUAACUAUCCUGUCUUAUGUUUUACCUAAACAACUUCAGUCUUAUAAUUUAUCUUGCAGUUCUUGCUUCCUCCCACAGCACCUCAGUGAAAAUGCUCCCAGUGUGCAUCUGUUGUUUCGGUGUUUUUUCUCCAUCGUACUAGUUGCUGUGUUAGUAAAGCUCAAGGCAAGCUUCAGUCUUUGUCCUGCUUGUGAGAGCCAGAUAACUACUUCAAGAACUGGACAUCAAAUCCUGUUUUUCUUCCAGAGCCUGAUUUGUUCUCAGGAAAACAAGAAUUUUCACUUCUCAAGUACUGCGCCUAGGACUUGAAGAAUGCUUCAAAAUCAGCAAUGUUCCUUCAACAGAAGGGCUGGCAUCAUGUGGUGUGUUUUCUGAAGCAAAGAACCCCUACAGCAUUCACUUGUGCUUGAGCUACCAUUCAUUUCAGACCUUGCACAUCUGUUUCUGGGUCUUUUUGAAAGCACUGGAAAGGAAAAGCUUGAAAGAAAGCACUCUUUCACAG